Molecule: ribosomal RNA, 202 nt
Filed under: uncultured bacterium
Lineage: Bacteria
Description: partial 16S ribosomal RNA
Rfam family: Bacterial small subunit ribosomal RNA
Source: RNAcentral
CCGAUGGCGGGGGAUAACUACUGGAAACGGUAGCUAAUACCGCAUAACGUCGCAAGACCAAAGAGGGGGACCUUAGGGCCUCUUGCCAUCGGAUGUGCCCAGAUGGGAUUAGCUAGUAGGUGAGGUAACGGCUUACCUAGGCGACGAUCCCUAGCUGGUCUGAGAGGAUGAUCAGCCACACUGGGACUGAGACACGGCCCAG